CGAGCGCAACCCCUACCUUUAGUUGCCAUCAGGUUAAGCGUGGGACUCUAAAGGAACUGCCUACGCAAGUAGUGAGGAAGGCGGGGAUGACGUCAAAUCAGCACGGCCCUUACGUCCAGGGCUACACACGUGCUACAAUGGCCGGUACAAAGGGCAGCUACCUGGUGACAGGAUGCUAAUCUCAAAAGCCGGUCUCAGUUCGGAUCGGAGUCUGCAACCCGACUCCGUGAAGUUGGAUUCGCUAGUAAUCGCGCAUCAGCCAUGGCGCGGUGAAUACGUUCCCGGGCCUU
This 290-nucleotide ribosomal RNA is filed under the name uncultured Sphingobacteriales bacterium. RNAcentral's name for it is "partial 16S ribosomal RNA". It matches the Rfam family "Bacterial small subunit ribosomal RNA", at positions 1093 to 1382 of the family's 1533-position model. The record is from RNAcentral. Lineage: Bacteria; Pseudomonadati; Bacteroidota; Sphingobacteriia; Sphingobacteriales.